UAGAGAAGAAGAAGAUCUACACUUUUCCCUUCAGCUGGCAGCGCAACCGGGAUCUUCUUCUUUUUCUUUUUCUUCUUCUUCUUCCUUUCUUCCUUUCUUCCUUUUCUUUCCUCUCCUUUUUCUUCCUCUCUGUUGCCGUCUGAGAACCCCCUCUCUCUUUCUUUCUCUGCUUCAUUCUGUGAGCCAGCUCAACCCCAUUUAAGUCCCACCAGAAUACUAUUC
Molecule: long non-coding RNA, 222 nt
Filed under: Phoenix dactylifera (date palm)
Lineage: Eukaryota; Viridiplantae; Streptophyta; Magnoliopsida; Arecales; Arecaceae
Description: long non-coding RNA (PDAC_LNC003432)
Source: RNAcentral